Callorhinchus milii (elephant shark) is the source of this 513-nucleotide long non-coding RNA. RefSeq lists it as uncharacterized. The transcript has 3 exons. The record is from RefSeq and is a predicted model, not a curated record. NCBI's taxonomy places the organism in Eukaryota, Metazoa, Chordata, Chondrichthyes, Chimaeriformes, Callorhinchidae.
UUUUGGGGCAAUGCACCUGGAAGAUUGACUACAGUCAUUCUAAUCUCUGACACAGAAAGGGCAUUCAAUCAGAUUAUGUGAAAGCAAAGUUCAAACUCUAGGCUUUGAUGCUCUGUUAAUCAGGUGGAGGGAGCAAUGGAGGGAGCAACAGGAUACAUACCAGGAGCUUAAAAAUGGGCAAUCAAAUGCCAAAUCUCACCAGUCUGGUCUCAGCAGUCAAGCAGAAGAUGUGGUUCGCUUCUUUUUCGGAAUGGAGUUGCUACACGUUGGCGUGAUGUGCUUUGACGCACUUCCGGAAAGAAUCUACACUCGGAUUUAUUGCUCAAGAAAUGCUGUUAAGAAACAUCGCAAAAUUGAUUCACGUAGUUAGGAGAGCGAUGGAACUACCUUAUAAACCGCCUUGGGCCUACUGUCCCUCUAUGUCUACUUCAUUGAGUAAUCUUCUCAACGAGUUUCCAUCUCGCUUCUGGAUCAGACGGUCGUGGGUUUAAGGCCCACUUUGGGACUAGGAAU